This 658-nucleotide long non-coding RNA is filed under the name Schistocerca americana (American grasshopper). RNAcentral's name for it is "uncharacterized LOC124553720, transcript variant X1". Lineage: Eukaryota; Metazoa; Arthropoda; Insecta; Orthoptera; Acrididae. The record is from RNAcentral.
ACUAUUACGCUCAUCAAACUCAACUGUUACUGUGAUAGAAAUUAAGUACCAUGUUAAUUUACUUCCGAAACACAUUUCUUCACUUACUCUUGUUUGCAGUUUAUAAACCUGGAGAAUAUCACACACAAAUUUCCACAACACCACGAAGUUGCUGCUGACUACAAGGUACACGAAGGGUGACAGUAUCGCAGAACCAGUAGAUGCAUUCAAAACCAGCGUGAAUCUUGUCGCUCGUGUGGCCAACAGCAGAAUUUUACGUCUUUUUCAACGCAGUUGUGAGAGAAUCCUUACACAGUGGUUCAUUAAAUUUAUCAAGAGAGGAACUGGUGAAAACUAAGUACCUGCUCCUGAUGAACGAUUGCCACCUUGAAAAAGCCAUAAUGGUUUCCACUAAGAUUAGCCCACAAGAUACACACUACAAUGCAAGACUCAAGUCUUCUGUAGCAUCUGCUUCCCCAUCAACAUCACUUUGUUCACAACAGUCUAAAUGCAGUAACUGUAGCUAUGCUGCAAGUUUAUACAAAAGUGUUAUAAGUAACGGUAUUUUAUACAAUGACUCAAGAGCUCUGAAUUACACAGUUCUGUAAAGAAGUUUGGUGAAACUAUAUGGCUUGAGUAUUUAAAUACUGCCAUUGAGUGGCAGAUUGAAGGAUUUGUU